GCCCAGUUAGCUCAGUCGGCAGAGCACUUCCUUGGUAAGGAAGAGGUCUCGGGUUCGAGUCCCGAACUGGGCUCCA
This 76-nucleotide transfer RNA is filed under the name Chloroflexota bacterium. RNAcentral's name for it is "Chloroflexi bacterium tRNA-Thr". It matches the Rfam family "tRNA". From Rfam's summary of the family: Transfer RNA (tRNA) molecules are approximately 80 nucleotides in length. Their secondary structure includes four short double-helical elements and three loops (D, anti-codon, and T loops). Further hydrogen bonds mediate the characteristic L-shaped molecular structure. tRNAs have two regions of fundamental functional importance: the anti-codon, which is responsible for specific mRNA codon recognition, and the 3' end, to which the tRNAs corresponding amino acid is attached (by aminoacyl-tRNA synthetases). tRNAs cope with the degeneracy of the genetic code in two manners: having more than one tRNA (with a specific anti-codon) for a particular amino acid; and 'wobble' base-pairing, i.e. permitting non-standard base-pairing at the 3rd anti-codon position. Lineage: Bacteria; Bacillati; Chloroflexota. The record is from RNAcentral.